AAGCAAAAUACGGCUACAAAGUAAGAAACUCACAAGCAAAAACAAUGGCAACUUCAGCAAUCCAACAAUCUACAUUUGCAGGCCUGACAACAUUGAAGUCCCAGAAUCAGCUCUGAAAGUUUAGGGAUCGUUCUACAACCACUUGGAAAUUCACGGAGAACGUUAUGUUACGUCAAAUUCAAGUUUUAAAUAUUACCAAGUUUACGUUCCAAUUAAUUUAUUAUUCGAACUCAUUGCAGAAUUGAUUCAUCAGAGCAACACGUCAUUUUAAUUAAUUGUUUAGGUGAUUAAACAUACAGUCCAGUUAAUUCCUAUGUUGAACUGCUGAUUUACGUAAAGUAAAUAAAACAAUGCAAAACACAACUUACGAUAUGAUAACAGAGAAGCCCCAACGUGGGUAAAACUCGGGGACCAAGCCAGUAGUUUUCACUAUACCAAUCCAGUAAGUACAAGUUAUGCCAAACUUCGUACUAAGUCAGAGCCGCUGUUCCAGUCUCACAAUCUACUGUCGUAGAUACUGAUAGUCUUCUGCUAGCUUCCCGAUCUACUUCCUACAACCCAAUUUGCUAUCCAAUACAACCUUCUGGUCUCUAGCUGAUUGUAUCACCAAGUGGAAUUCCAAAAACCUCCUAUUCUUGUCCAGUUCCUGCACUUGUCAUCCACCUCUCUCGAUCUCCCAAUGAGAGAGUCCCUUCCUCAAUAGAUGAAGAAGUCCAGGUGUUUUAUAUUCACAAACUUUGAUGUUUUCCCCACACGGUCGGUUGCCGGAUCACAAGAAUUGGAUUGAUGAAUUCUCCAGUAGAUUGCGUUUUUGGAUCUCUUCACAAUGAUAUGAAUAUGUUCUUCUAUGAAAGCAUAAUGAAGCAACC
RNAcentral lists this long non-coding RNA (869 nucleotides) under Olea europaea subsp. europaea. The record is from RNAcentral. Lineage: Eukaryota; Viridiplantae; Streptophyta; Magnoliopsida; Lamiales; Oleaceae.